Molecule: ribosomal RNA, 164 nt
Filed under: uncultured eukaryote
Lineage: Eukaryota
Description: partial 18S ribosomal RNA
Rfam family: Eukaryotic small subunit ribosomal RNA
Source: RNAcentral
CUGCACGCGCGUUACACUGACGCAUGCAACGAGUUUCGAUCCUAACCCGACGGGGUUGGGUAAUCUUUUUAAAGUGCGUCGUGAUGGGGAUAGAACAUUGUAAUUAUUGUUCUUGAACGAGGAAUUCCUAGUAAUUGCAGGUCAACAACCUGCGAUGAUUACGU